GAAAUGCGAUACGUAAUGUGAAUUGCAGAAUUCAGUGAAUCAUCGAAUCUUUGAACGCACCUUGCACUCUUUGGUAUUCCGAAGAGUACGCCUGUUCGAGUAUCUUGAAACUAUCAAACCAGCAGUUUUUGUUAGCUGCUGGAUUGGAUUUGGACUUUACCGUCUCCUUUAUUGGAACGGUUGGUCUUAAAAGCAUUAGCUGACCCUCGAUUUGUGGGAUUGGUUCUUACUCAACGUGAUAAUUAUCUAGAUCGUUGAGGACAUUUGCUUAACUGUGAAUGGCCAGCUCUACCUUGGAUCGCUUCUAAUCGUGCCUUUGUUGCACAAUAUAACUUUCAACUUUGAUCUCGAAUCAGGCGGGACUACCCGCUGAACUUAA
This 379-nucleotide unclassified non-coding RNA is filed under the name uncultured Sistotrema. RNAcentral describes it as "sequence contains ITS1". The stretch from base 1 to 105 matches the Rfam family "5.8S ribosomal RNA", at positions 50 to 154 of the family's 154-position model. The record is from RNAcentral. Lineage: Eukaryota; Fungi; Basidiomycota; Agaricomycetes; Corticiales; Corticiaceae.